Molecule: transfer RNA, 73 nt
Filed under: Polyangiaceae bacterium
Lineage: Bacteria; Pseudomonadati; Myxococcota; Polyangiales; Polyangiaceae
Description: tRNA-Asn
Rfam family: tRNA
About the family: Transfer RNA (tRNA) molecules are approximately 80 nucleotides in length. Their secondary structure includes four short double-helical elements and three loops (D, anti-codon, and T loops).
Source: RNAcentral
UCCAGCGUAGCCAAAUGGUAAGGCAGCCGACUGUUAAUCGGCCUAUGUGGAGGUUCGAUUCCUCCCGCUGGAG